Molecule: ribosomal RNA, 253 nt
Filed under: uncultured bacterium
Lineage: Bacteria
Description: partial 16S ribosomal RNA
Rfam family: Bacterial small subunit ribosomal RNA
Source: RNAcentral
UACGGGGGAUGCAAGCGUUAUCCGGAUUUAUUGGGUUUAAAGGGAGCGUAGGUGGAUUGUUAAGUCAGUUGUGAAAGUUUGCGGCUCAACCGUAAAAUUGCAGUUGAAACUGGCAGUCUUGAGUACAGUAGAGGUGGGCGGAAUUCGUGGUGUAGCGGUGAAAUGCUUAGAUAUCACGAAGAACUCCGAUUGCGAAGGCAGCUCACUGGACUGCAACUGACACUGAGGCUCGAAAGUGUGGGUAUCAAACAGG